RNAcentral lists this ribosomal RNA (663 nucleotides) under uncultured cyanobacterium. RNAcentral describes it as "bacterial SSU rRNA". It matches the Rfam family "Bacterial small subunit ribosomal RNA", at positions 99 to 795 of the family's 1533-position model. The record is from RNAcentral. Lineage: Bacteria; Bacillati; Cyanobacteriota.
CGGACGGGUGAGUAACGCGUGAGAAUCUGGCUUCAGGUCUGGGACAACCACUGGAAACGGUGGCUAAUACCGGAUGUGCCGAGAGGUGAAAGGUUAACUGCCUGAAGAUGAGCUCGCGUCUGAUUAGCUAGUUGGAAGUGUAAUGGACUCCCAAGGCGACGAUCAGUAGCUGGUCUGAGAGGACGAUCAGCCACACUGGGACUGAGACACGGCCCAGACUCCUACGGGAGGCAGCAGUGGGGAAUUUUCCGCAAUGGGCGAAAGCCUGACGGAGCAAUACCGCGUGAGGGAGGAAGGCUCUUGGGUCGUAAACCUCUUUUCUCAGGGAAGAACAAAAUGACGGUACCUGAGGAAUAAGCAUCGGCUAACUCCGUGCCAGCAGCCGCGGUAAUACGGAGGAUGCAAGCGUUAUCCGGAAUGAUUGGGCGUAAAGCGUCCGCAGGUGGCUAUGUAAGUCUGCUGUUAAAGAGUCUAGCUCAACUAGAUAAGAGCAGUGGAAACUACAAGGCUAGAGUACGUUCGGGGCAGAGGGAAUUCCUGGUGUAGCGGUGAAAUGCGUAGAGAUCAGGAAGAACACCGGUGGCGAAGGCGCUCUGCUAGGCCGUAACUGACACUGAGGGACGAAAGCUAGGGGAGCGAAUGGGAUUAGAUACCCCAGUAGUC